Long non-coding RNA from Wasmannia auropunctata (little fire ant), 265 nucleotides. RefSeq lists it as uncharacterized. NCBI's taxonomy places the organism in Eukaryota, Metazoa, Arthropoda, Insecta, Hymenoptera, Formicidae. The record is from RefSeq and is a predicted model, not a curated record. The transcript is spliced from 2 exons.
GACUGCAGAUGAAUCUAGCGACAGUGCUUCUUCAAAUGUUAAUAUUUCAAUACCAAACAAUAAUAAUUUAAAAGUAAUUCCUCAAAGUCAUUGUUCAGUAUCAAAUAUUUCAGAUGAUGACAUACAAUUAAUUGUGAAACAUUUUGAUCACAAACUUACCAAAUUAAUAAGAAUAACUUCUAAAAUUGAUGUCGAAUUAUCUGAUUUGAAACAACGAGUAGAUCGUAUAACUCCGUUUACUAGAGUAUCUGGACCAUCAGAAAAG